RNAcentral lists this transfer RNA (71 nucleotides) under Odorrana versabilis (bamboo leaf odorous frog). RNAcentral describes it as "tRNA-Gln". It matches the Rfam family "tRNA". From Rfam's summary of the family: Transfer RNA (tRNA) molecules are approximately 80 nucleotides in length. The record is from RNAcentral. Lineage: Eukaryota; Metazoa; Chordata; Amphibia; Anura; Ranidae. RNAcentral also lists the same sequence under 1 other name.
UAACUAGUAGCAUAAAGGAAGUGCGAAGGGCUUUGAUCUCUUUCGUGUAGGUUCAAUUCCUAUCUAUUUAA